GUGUAAUUGUGGGGUUUAUGAGCUUUUUAGCGUGAGAAGAAGGCAUGGAAUAAUAAAGGGUGUGGGGGUAUGGUCCUACAAUACAGGGUAAACUAACCUAAACGAUCUUUUAGUUUUAAUGCACUAAAAAACUAAAAAUCAAAGAUAUUGAAAAAGUUGGUGGUUUUAAUCAAUGAAUGUAUUUGAGGAGGUUUUCUUUCAUAACUUUUUUACGGAUCAGCUAUCUAUAUCCAUACUAGACUUUGAUUUCAGGGUCCAAAUGGGUCUAAGAUGUUCAGCACUUUUGGUUGUAUGUUGGUUUUCAGAAUGUGAAAUUUCACC
This 321-nucleotide long non-coding RNA is filed under the name Cicer arietinum (chickpea). Its description in RNAcentral is "long non-coding RNA (CARI_LNC001836)". Lineage: Eukaryota; Viridiplantae; Streptophyta; Magnoliopsida; Fabales; Fabaceae. The record is from RNAcentral.